GAAUGGCCGACUCCGCCGCGAGCCGUCACUUCCUCGGCUUCCGCUCCGUCCGUGGCCGCCGCCGAGAUCUUCGACCCCGUCCCCUCCACCCUCUCCGGCCUCCUCUCCCUCGCUGACUCUUUCGCUCUCGCCGACGAGGCUGGGGCCUUUGUCCUCGAGCUCCUCCUCCUAGUUCGAUGAGAUCGUCCACCUUCUCCUUGACUACUUCGCUAACGCCUCACUUGACUACGGCACCGCAGUCACACGUCGUAUUGGGGGUGGGGGGGUGUUGUGUGGCGCGGUUCGAUGGCCACCACUUCCUCUUUUCCUUCGACUAGCUCGGAUAGACCCAGAAGCAGGGCAUUCUUGAUAACUUCUCCGGUUAGUAUAUGUGCCAGCCCUUCACUGCUUUUGUGGAGAAGGUGAUCGCGGAGCGCUCGGCCAUGCUUGAUGGCACCAGUGGGAUGCCGAAGAUGUACGAGACUGCAGGUGCAGCAUUUCCUCUUCGGUUCGGAUCGCUCACCAACUGGCUGAUGUUCAAAAAUGUUCUUUUGGGUUUUCAAGCAUUUAGCAGCCAAGUAAAUUGGUUCGAAUGCUGGCAUGAUGGUUUCGUAUAACUGGUUGCUUUGAAGUAUUAAAUCAAGCAACCGAUAAUCUGGUUGCCUUCCUUUGUAGGGAGGGAAUGCGAAAUUUGAAUUGGGUGUUUUGGGAACUUGCUCACAUCUGCAGACCAACUCCAAGUUGUGUCUGCAAAGUCUGUCUGGCUUGUAACAAGCAAAAUCAAGCUCCUGCAUGUGCCCGAGAUCAACUCACAGCACUUAGAUUUGUCUUUUCUCGAUCUUGGUCGGUGUUGCCAGAUGGAUUUGUAUUUUUAUAUUCAGAGCAGAACAUGUCAAAACCUCGGUGGCGUUUGAUGCAACCAUCUUGGAGUAAUUAAUAAUGGGGUUCUUGUCUUUUUGAAUCCACCGGCAUGGAUCAGAUCACCAGUUCAGAUUCUAAGGAUGCUCCACUUGGUUUCCUGUGACUCUCUUCGGGCUUUGGCAUGUAUAGUAACAUCAAGUCUCAGUUCAGUUAAUGUGUUGGGCAUCAUCACUAUACUAUUUGGUGACUCGACCACAGCAUCCUGACAGUGCCACAAGGGUGGGUCAGUACGCAGUUGAGUCCAUGGCUUCUCGGAUUGGCUUGUCCAGUCCAGUGAAUGCUGGCUGCUUCUACUGCUCCACCUGCCAGUCUUGGGAAGGUGAGCAGCAAUCAAUGCUGUGGAGCUCAAUUUAUGGGCAUGAGCUUCGCUUGAACUGAGCCAUAAGCCAUAUGGUAGGUCCGUCCUCAGUUACCAUUUCUGAGGUCAUAUUACGAAUGCUGGAUAAGCCUGUGACAGGUACAGUGAAGAAGGUGCUUCUGUGUGUGUGUCAGCAGCGGUCCAUUCAUCAGGCUAAUUAUGAGACGGCUUCAUCAACCUGCACCAGUCGAACGUCUCUUGGCAUCCAUAAGAAGGGUUAAGUGACAUCGAAUCGGACGUCGUCAGGUUUGGAUAAUCUCGUGUGCUUGAAGGCUUACCAAGGAAAAUACUGUGUGGCUCUAGGUUUGCAGAGCUUGGGUUUGGUGACUGCCUUGUACGACUAAGGCUUCACAUGCUACGUGCAAAAGCUGUUCAAAAAGGAAAAGAAAAUGAGAAAAAUAAGUUAGACAUUCCCGAAAGAAAGGUGCAUAAAAACUUCUGUAUGAUGUGAUCUGACACAAGUCAUUGCCAACUUCAUGUUUGAGGAUGACAACCUCUUUAAUGCCCCCCAACCAACCUUCUUGCUUCCGGUGACCCAAGUCCAGGCCGUGGCUUACCGUGGAGGGGGACAACCUUAGAAGCACACCGUGGAGAGUAGAUUUUGGUUUUUCAUUUGUUAGAUUAAGAGCAAAUUUUUAAGAUAAUUAUUAGGUCAGGCCGGAGUAUUGUUUUUUU
Molecule: non-coding RNA, 1933 nt
Organism: Musa acuminata subsp. malaccensis (wild Malaysian banana)
Lineage: Eukaryota; Viridiplantae; Streptophyta; Magnoliopsida; Zingiberales; Musaceae
Source: RefSeq, a predicted model, not a curated record